This 348-nucleotide ribosomal RNA is filed under the name uncultured fungus. RNAcentral's name for it is "SSU rRNA". It matches the Rfam family "Eukaryotic small subunit ribosomal RNA", at positions 1326 to 1698 of the family's 1831-position model. The record is from RNAcentral. Lineage: Eukaryota; Fungi.
CGAUAACGAACGAGACCUUAACCUGCUAAAUAGCCCGCGUUACUUUGGUAGCGCGCCGGCUUCUUAGAGGGACUAUCGGUGUAAGCCGAUGGAAGUUUGAGGCAAUAACAGGUCUGUGAUGCCCUUAGAUGUUCUGGGCCGCACGCGCGUUACACUGACAGAGCCAGCGAGUUUUUCCUUCGCCGAAAGGCUUGGGUAAUCUUGUGAAACUCUGUCGUGCUGGGGAUAGGCCAUUGCAGUUAUUGGUCUUCAACGAGGAAUCCCUAGUAAGCGCAAGUCAUCAACUUGCGUUGAUUACGUCCCUGCCCUUUGUACACACCGCCCGUCGCUACUACCGAUUGAAUGGCU